UACGUAGGGGGCAAGCGUUGUCCGGAAUCAUUGGGCGUAAAGAGCGUGUAGGCGGCCCGGUAAGUCCGCUGUGAAAGUCCAGGGCUCAACCCUGGGAUGCCGGUGGAUACUGUCGGGCUCGAGUCCGGAAGAGGAGUGUGGAAUUCCUGGUGUAGCGGUGAAAUGCGCAGAUAUCAGGAGGAACACCAACGGCGAAGGCAGCUCGCUGGGACGGUACUGACACUAAGGCGCGAAAGCGUGGGGAGCGAACAGG
Molecule: ribosomal RNA, 253 nt
Filed under: uncultured bacterium
Lineage: Bacteria
Description: partial 16S ribosomal RNA
Rfam family: Bacterial small subunit ribosomal RNA
Source: RNAcentral